This 1410-nucleotide ribosomal RNA is filed under the name Haemophilus influenzae. RNAcentral describes it as "bacterial LSU rRNA". It matches the Rfam family "Bacterial large subunit ribosomal RNA", at positions 1260 to 2654 of the family's 2925-position model. Lineage: Bacteria; Pseudomonadati; Pseudomonadota; Gammaproteobacteria; Pasteurellales; Pasteurellaceae. The record is from RNAcentral.
AUCGAGAGGUGGGCUGGACGUAUCACAAGUGCGAAUGCUGACAUAAGUAACGAUAAAACGGGUGAAAAACCCGUUCGCCGGAAGACCAAGGGUUCCUGUCCAACGUUAAUCGGGGCAGGGUGAGUCGGCUCCUAAGGCGAGGCUGAAAAGCGUAGUCGAUGGGAAACAGGUUAAUAUUCCUGUACUUGGUAAAGCUGCGAUGUGGGGACGGAGUAGGUUAGGUUAUCGCACUGUUGGAUAUGUGCGUUUAAGUUGGUAGGUGGGAAGUUUAGGCAAAUCCGGGCUUCCUUAACACAGAGAGAUGAUGACGAGGCUCUACGGAGCUGAAGUAACUGAUACCACACUUCCAGGAAAAGCCACUAAGCGAAAGGCUUUACUAAACCGUACUGAAAACCGACACAGGUGGUCAGGUAGAGAAUACUCAGGCGCUUGAGAGAACUCGGGUGAAGGAACUAGGCAAAAUAGCACCGUAACUUCGGGAGAAGGUGCGCCGGCGUAGAUUGUAAGGGCUAGCCCCUGAAGGUUGAACCGGUCGAAGAUACCAGCUGGCUGCAACUGUUUAUUAAAAACACAGCACUCUGCAAACACGAAAGUGGACGUAUAGGGUGUGAUGCCUGCCCGGUGCUGGAAGGUUAAUUGAUGGUGUAAUCGCAAGAGAAGCACCUGAUCGAAGCCCCAGUAAACGGCGGCCGUAACUAUAACGGUCCUAAGGUAGCGAAAUUCCUUGUCGGGUAAGUUCCGACCUGCACGAAUGGCAUAAUGAUGGCCAGGCUGUCUCCACCCGAGACUCAGUGAAAUUGAAAUCGCCGUGAAGAUGCGGUGUACCCGCGGCUAGACGGAAAGACCCCGUGAACCUUUACUAUAGCUUGACACUGAACAUUGAAUUUUGAUGUGUAGGAUAGGUGGGAGACUUAGAAGUAGUCACGCCAGUGAUUAUGGAGUCGACCUUGAAAUACCACCCUUUAACGUUUGAUGUUCUAACGAAGAUGACGAAACGUGGUCUCGGACAGUGUCUGGUGGGUAGUUUGACUGGGGCGGUCUCCUCCCAAAGCGUAACGGAGGAGCACGAAGGUUUGCUAAUCACGGUCGGACAUCGUGAGGUUAGUGCAAUGGUAUAAGCAAGCUUAACUGCGAGACAGACAAGUCGAGCAGGUACGAAAGUAGGUCAUAGUGAUCCGGUGGUUCUGAAUGGAAGGGCCAUCGCUCAACGGAUAAAAGGUACUCCGGGGAUAACAGGCUGAUACCGCCCAAGAGUUCAUAUCGACGGCGGUGUUUGGCACCUCGAUGUCGGCUCAUCACAUCCUGGGGCUGAAGUAGGUCCCAAGGGUAUGGCUGUUCGCCAUUUAAAGUGGUACGCGAGCUGGGUUUAGAACGUCGUGAGACAGUUCGGUCCCUAUCUGCCGUGGGCGU